AUGGCAUCCUCGCAAACAAGCUCCAGAAGACGGUGGCACCUCGGGCCGGCUCGGGAGGGUGGGUGCAGAGCCCAGGGUGGAUUUUGGGUGCUGAGGGGUGGGUGGGGUUGCAGAGACGCUGCAGCAGUGGCCCUGCCACCCAUUCCGGAGGCGGCCGGUGGCUUCGGGCCGAGGUUUUGUUUGUUGUUUUGGUCGCGCUUCCCAUGGAGACGGGACUUGUGCAAGCGCCAUCGUCCUCCCUGCGCCGCGGGGACACGGUGGGUGCUGGGGAGGCCGUGUCCCUGCAGGGCCUGCAGCCCCCCCGAGCUGUCCCUCUGCCACCAUGGCCAGGCCCUGGUGGUCCCUGCCACCGUGGUGACUGUAACCCCUGCUACCACAGCUGCUUCCUGUCGCCAUCACAGCUUUGUCCCCCACCAUCACCAUGCCAGGUUCUGUCUCCAUCAUGGUCGUCACAGUUCCCGUACCCUGCCGCUACAGCCACCGCAUCCCCACCAAACCCCUGAUGUCCCUCGAGCACUGUGUCCAGCCUGUCCCUGCCAUGGCCACUCUGUCCCCUGCCACCACAGCCACCUUGUCCCCACCACAACCACCCUGACCUCACCUCUGCCACCACAGCCAUCCGGUGGCCACCACAACCCCUGUGUCCCCCUGCCACCAUGGCCACCCUGUCUCCACAAAAGCCACCAUGUGCCCCAGCCACCACAGCCGCCUUGUCCCACCCCAGCCCCGAUGUCCCCACGCAGCCCCAGUGUCUCCCUGCCACCACGGCCCCCUACGCCCCCCCCACGACCACGGCCCCGGUCCCCAUCCUGCGGGGUCGGGCGGGGCGGGGCUGGCCCGGGGCGCGGUGGCGGGGCUGCCCCGGCCCCGGCCCGGCGGACCCGCCCCGGGAGCGGGCGGUACCGGGCCGCCCCCGGCCGCGCUGACAUCAGCCGUGAAAAGGGCGCGGGCGGCGGCAUCCGCCACUGCCGCACCGGGACCGCGGGAUCGCGCCGCAGGUAG
Molecule: long non-coding RNA, 1002 nt
Filed under: Calidris pygmaea (Spoon-billed sandpiper)
Lineage: Eukaryota; Metazoa; Chordata; Aves; Charadriiformes; Scolopacidae
Description: lncRNA (ENSCPGG00000001754.1)
Source: RNAcentral